Molecule: long non-coding RNA, 862 nt
Organism: Ornithodoros turicata
Lineage: Eukaryota; Metazoa; Arthropoda; Arachnida; Ixodida; Argasidae
Exons: 2
Source: RefSeq, a predicted model, not a curated record
UUUUAGCUGUGUUCGCGGACCUGAGAAGGUCGCUCGCUCUUCUUGGGGGGAAAGCCUUGGCUUGUGCCGUUGGAAGCAUGCAAAGACAGAGACAGCGCUCCAGUGUGCGUCGCACUUCCCGCCGAGGAUAUGUGCCCCCUCCUACAUUUGAUCAAGCACGAUCUCGGUCCCCUGGUCCGAGAAAGAAGUCCGUGGCGACGUGGACCGUGGUCCACCUUGGGUACCCCGUAUCAUGGGCUUCUCAUAAUAAGUGGUCAUCCCAGCCCCGCCCCCUCAGGAAUGCCGACCCCGCUACCACUCCGUUGCCGUUCCGCGGCUUGACCCUGCGAGAGAGACACCCCGCCGACCCUCUUCAACCCCUCUCUGCAGACGAACAACGACUCCUGUGUCCGGUCUGCCAGGUGCCGGAACUGCACAGAGCCACCCAUCGUCGAGGCGAGCUCCAUCGUUCCCGUACCGAACAAGCACGCCCCGAGGUCGUGGAUGUCGUUGCCGCCCUUGGCCACCUUACGUCGGCAUCGCCCAGAGUUACUACGGGAAACUGAGAGAGAGCUGGCGGCACCCAACCCAGCAGAGGACGAUAUUCUCACCGGGCUGGACCACAAUGAAGACCUGUAACUGCUUCCGCGUACUGUACAGUUUUGGGAGAGGGGAAGUGUGGGAUUUGUUUUGUGCUGUCGUCGACAGGUGUCACGAUAGACAGAUGGCGCGUGUCGCUUGCGCGCAGCUUAGGGGGCGGAUGCCCGAGGAGCUUAUCAUUUUAGCUGUGUUCGCGGACCUGAGAAGGUCGCUCGCUCUUCUUGUGGGGAAAGCCUUGGCUUGUGCCGUUGGAAGGUAUGAAAUAAACCCUUUGUUAAUUGUU